UAAACUUACAAGGCUCGUAGACA
This 23-nucleotide non-coding RNA is filed under the name Cricetulus griseus (Chinese hamster). Lineage: Eukaryota; Metazoa; Chordata; Mammalia; Rodentia; Cricetidae. The record is from RNAcentral.